UGGAAAUGGAAUGAAAUCAACAAAUGUUGCUU
This 32-nucleotide non-coding RNA is filed under the name Mus musculus (house mouse). Lineage: Eukaryota; Metazoa; Chordata; Mammalia; Rodentia; Muridae. The record is from RNAcentral.